Molecule: ribosomal RNA, 439 nt
Filed under: uncultured bacterium
Lineage: Bacteria
Description: partial 16S ribosomal RNA
Rfam family: Bacterial small subunit ribosomal RNA
Source: RNAcentral
CUACGGGAUGCAGCAGUGGGGAAUAUUGCACAAUGGAGGAAACUCUGAUGCAGCAACGCCGCGUGGAGGAUGACACUUUUCGGAGCGUAAACUCCUUUUAUAUAAGAAGAAGAUGACGGUACUAUAUGAAUAAGCGCCGGCUAACUCCGUGCCAGCAGCCGCGGUAAUACGGAGGGCGCAAGCGUUACUCGGAAUCACUGGGCGUAAAGAGCGUGUAGGCGGAUUAAAAAGUCAGAAGUGAAGUCCUAUAGCUUAACUAUAGAACUGCUUCUGAAACUCUUAAUCUAGAAUAUGGGAGAGGUAGAUGGAAUUUCUGGUGUAGGGGUAAAAUCCGUAGAGAUCAGAAGGAAUACCGAUUGCGAAGGCGAUCUACUAGAACAUUAUUGACGCUGAGACGCGAAAGCGUGGGGAGCAAACAGGAUUAGAUACCCCUGUAGUC